GACGAACGCUGGCGGCGUGCCUAAAACAUGCAAGUCGAACGAGGUAGCAAUACCUAGUGGCGAACGGCGGAGUAAUACAUAAACAACGUGCCCUGAAGACUGGGAUAUACAGCUGAAAAGCUGGGCAAUACCGGAUGUGGCAGCAACUCGGCAUCGAGAUGCUAUCAAAUGGUUUUUCGCUUCUGGAGCGGUUUAUGGCCUAUCAGGUAGUUGGUGGGGUAAUGGCCACCAAGCCGACGACGGGUAGCGGGUCUGAGAGGAUGAUCCGCUCGAGUGGGACUGAGACACGGCCCACACACCUACGGGUGGCAGCAGUUGGGAAUCUUGCACAAUGGGGGAAACCCUGAUGCAGCCAUGCCGCGUGAGUGAUGAA
This 373-nucleotide ribosomal RNA is filed under the name uncultured bacterium. RNAcentral's name for it is "bacterial SSU rRNA". It matches the Rfam family "Bacterial small subunit ribosomal RNA", at positions 28 to 412 of the family's 1533-position model. The record is from RNAcentral.